Balaenoptera musculus (blue whale) is the source of this 785-nucleotide long non-coding RNA. RefSeq lists it as uncharacterized. The transcript is spliced from 3 exons. Lineage: Eukaryota; Metazoa; Chordata; Mammalia; Artiodactyla; Balaenopteridae. The record is from RefSeq and is a predicted model, not a curated record.
AGGCAAGUGGGAGAGACAGUCUGUCUCCAACAGCUUUGAUCCCAUCCGGCCUGCUCCCCACUCCCACAACCGCCGCCCUCCGGGCAUCUGCAUCUGCGCGGGCCUGUAACUUCUCUGACUCCAGUGACACCAGCAAGUGACGUCUCCUUUGGCCAAGCAGACAAGAGCUGACCAGAGGAGCCAGGGAGCUCCGGGGCAGAGGCCUGACGGUCUGCAGCUGGCGAGAAGGAAGCCAGACCAGCGUUAGGCAUUAGCUCUAACUCGGAGCAAAGACUGAGAACCUUGCCAGGGAAGAAGCUUGUUCUAAACCCCCCAAAGCAACCUCUAUGGACCGCCUCAGCUGCUCUAGAGGAUUCUAAGAUGAUGAAGACGGUGCUGGCCCUUGAAGAGAUGGCAGUUUAGUGAUGCUGAGAAACCAGGAAGUGGACGAUUACAAGAAUCCAAGGGGCCAGAGAGGGAUGCGAGAGGGCAAGUGGGGCAGACAUUGAAGCUGAACUUCUGUCACAGCUGAAUGAGUUCCUAUGCCCCAGCCGUGGAAUUGGGACUUGGAUGGCAUGGUCCACAUUUCCUUCCCGUCCUCCGCACCUUCCCUACACUCUGCAGGAUGCAGUUCUUAGCCCUGAGAAAUCCUCUCAAUUUGCUGCCUUGAAUCAGUUGACCUGGUAGGACUUGUGGGAACAUGGAGGGUGGGCUUGGCCCUACAUACUCCAGUAUCUUUAUAUACAGAAUUGCACAUUUGUUUUUACUUGGGUUUCAUUGGUUCCACUUAGUGGUGUGCUGGUAAA